Molecule: ribosomal RNA, 496 nt
Filed under: uncultured bacterium
Lineage: Bacteria
Description: partial 16S ribosomal RNA
Rfam family: Bacterial small subunit ribosomal RNA
Source: RNAcentral
AUGAACGCUGACGGCGUGCCUAAUACAUGCCAGUCGAGCGAACAGACGAGGAGCUUGCUCCUCUGACGUUAGCGGCGGACGGGUGAGUAACACGUGGAUAACCUACCUAUAAGACUGGGAUAACUUCGGGAAACCGGAGCUAAUACCGGAUAAUAUAUUGAACCGCAUGGUUCAAUAGUGAAAGACGGUUUUGCUGUCACUUAUAGAUGGAUCCGCGCCGCAUUAGCUAGUUGGUAAGGUAACGGCUUACCAAGGCAACGAUGCGUAGCCGACCUGAGAGGGUGAUCGGCCACACUGGAACUGAGACACGGUCCAGACUCCUACGGGAGGCAGCAGUAGGGAAUCUUCCGCAAUGGGCGAAAGCCUGACGGAGCAACGCCGCGUGAGUGAUGAAGGUCUUCGGAUCGUAAAACUCUGUUAUUAGGGAAGAACAAAUGUGUAAGUAACUAUGCACGUCUUGACGGUACCUAAUCAGAAAGCCACGGCUAACUACGUG